Molecule: ribosomal RNA, 1373 nt
Filed under: Andrena dorsata
Lineage: Eukaryota; Metazoa; Arthropoda; Insecta; Hymenoptera; Andrenidae
Description: 16S ribosomal RNA
Rfam family: Archaeal large subunit ribosomal RNA (bases 1074-1232)
Source: RNAcentral
ACACUGAAACAAUUAAAAUUAUUUUUAAAAUUUUAAUUUAGUGUUUAUAUUCUUAUUUUAGGUGAGUGAUUUAUUUUAAGAAAAGUAAUUUAAUUGAGUAGUGUUUUAGUAAUUAUUUUGAAUAGAUUGAUUUUUAAAUAUAUAAUGUAUUGUGAAAGACUAAUUUUAUAUAUAAUUAAGUAAGUUACUAUUUUACCUUUUGUAUCAGGGUUUAUUAAAUAAUUAGUAUGAAUUAUACUAAUCUCGAAGCUAAAAGAGCUAAUUAUAAAUUAUUUUUUAUGUAGAAUAAUAAUUAUAAAUUUAUAAUUAGAAGUGAAAUGUUAUUCGGUUUUAAUGAUAUCUAGUUUUUUUUGAAAUGAAUUUAAUUCAUAUAUUUAAUUAAUAAAUAAUAUUAAUUUUUAUUUCUGUUAAAUAUAAAAAAUCUAUGGGAUAACCUAUAGGUUUAGUGUACAAUUGUUUAAUUGAAAUUGUAGAGUUGUGGUUUUAAAAUUUAAUUCCAUUAGAGAUAAUUUAAUAAUUUAUUAUGUGGUUGAAAAGAUUUUAGUUGUAUUGAUGUAUAUAUUUAAAAUAAAUUAUAUGAGAAUGAAUUAUAUAUAGUUAUAAUGAUAAAAUUAGUAAUUGUUUUAGUUAACAUUAUUUUUGUAUAAGAAUAAGUUGAAGGAACUCGGCAAAUUAAUAGUAUUCACCUGUUUAUCAAAAACAUGUCUUUUUGUUGUAUGAUUUAAAGUCUGCUCUGCCCAAUGAAUUUAAUUAAAUGGCUGCAGUAUAUUGACUGUACAAAGGUAGCAUAAUAAUUAGUCUUUUUAUUGAAGGCUGGAAUGAAUGAGUUGAUGAAAUACUUACUGUCUCCAAUUUAAAUUAUUAAUUUAAAUUUUAAGUAAAAAUGCUUAAAUUUUUGUAUGGGACGAGAAGACCCUAUAGAAUUUUAUAAUUUAUUUUAAGUCUAACCUUCACUUAAAGUAAAUUAUUUUGUUGGGAGGAUAUUUAAAUUUAUUAAACUUUAAAAUUUUAAUUCAAUUAUUUUUGUUUAGUAAGAUAGUUUAUUAGAAAUUGUUAGAUUAAAUUACCUUAGGGAUAACAGCGUAAUAUCUUUGGAGAGUUCAUAUUUAUAAAGAUGAUUGCGACCUCGAUGUUGAAUUAAGAUACAAUUUAAAUGCAGGAGUUUAAAUUUUAAGUCUGUUCGACUUUUAAUAUCUUACAUGAUUUGAGUUCAGAUCGGCGUGAGCCAGAUCGGUUUCUAUCUAUAUUUAUGUAAUAAAUUUUUGUACGAAAGGACUUAAUUUGUAAAUUAUUUAAUUUUUUGUGUAUAUUAAGAUUAAUAAAUGAAUUACUUCCUUGGCAGAAUAGUGCGUUAAAUUUAGAAUUUAAAAUAU